Molecule: long non-coding RNA, 145 nt
Organism: Gopherus evgoodei (Goodes thornscrub tortoise)
Lineage: Eukaryota; Metazoa; Chordata; Testudines; Testudinidae
Exons: 3
Source: RefSeq, a predicted model, not a curated record
ACUCAGGGCAAGAUGUCUGAGGUAAUAUCUUUUAUUUGGCCAACUUCUAUUGGUGGAAGGGAAGAGGUCUGUGUGGCUUGAAAUCUUGUCCCUUCCAUCAACAGAAGUAGGUCCAAUAAAUAUAUUACCUCACCCACCUUGUAUC